RNAcentral lists this ribosomal RNA (440 nucleotides) under uncultured bacterium. Its description in RNAcentral is "partial 16S ribosomal RNA". It matches the Rfam family "Bacterial small subunit ribosomal RNA", at positions 338 to 795 of the family's 1533-position model. The record is from RNAcentral.
CCUACGGGCGGCAGCAGUGGGGAAUAUUGCACAAUGGGGGAAACCCUGAUGCAGCGACGCCGCGUGAGUGAAGAAGUAAUUCGUUAUGUAAAGCUCUAUCAGCAGGGAAGAAAAUGACGGUACCUGAGUAAGAAGCCCCGGCUAACUACGUGCCAGCAGCCGCGGUAAUACGUAGGGGGCAAGCGUUAUCCGGAUUUACUGGGUGGAAAGGGAGCGUAGACGGCAGUGCAAGUCUGGAGUGAAAGGCGGGGGCUCAACCCCCGGACUGCUCUGGAAACUGUACGGCUGGAGUGCAGGAGAGGUAAGUGGAAGUCCUAGUGUAGCGGUGAAAUGCGUAGAUAUUAGGAGGAACACCAGUGGCGAAGGCGGCUUACUGGACUGUAACUGACGUUGAGGCUCGAAAGCGUGGGGAGCAAACAGGAUUAGAUACCCCUGUAGUC